This 440-nucleotide ribosomal RNA is filed under the name uncultured bacterium. RNAcentral's name for it is "bacterial SSU rRNA". It matches the Rfam family "Bacterial small subunit ribosomal RNA", at positions 338 to 795 of the family's 1533-position model. The record is from RNAcentral.
CCUACGGGAUGCACCAGUGGGGAAUAUUGGACAAUGGGCGAAAGCCUGAUCCAGCAAUGCCGCGUGUGUGAAGAAGGUCUUCGGAUUGUAAAGCACUUUCGACGGGGACGAUGAUGACGGUACCCGUAGAAGAAGCCCCGACUAACUUCGUGCCAGCAGCCGCGGUAAUACGAAGGGGGCUAGCGUUGCUCGGAAUGACUGGGCGUAAAGGGCGCGUAGGCGGUUUAUGCAGUCAGAUGUGAAACCCCCGGGCUUAACCUGGGAACUGCAUUUGAGACGCAUAGACUAGAGUUCGAGAGAGGUGAGUGGAAUUCCGAGUGUAGAGGUGAAAUUCGUAGAUAUCGGGAGGAACAUCCGUGGCGAAGGCGGCACCCUGGACCAGCACUGACACUGAGGCACGAAAGCGUGGGGAGCAAACAGGAUUAGAUACCCCCGUAGUC